UACGUAGGGUGCGAGCGUUGCCCGGAUUUAUUGGGCGUAAAGGGCGCGCAGGCGGCUACGCACGUCCGUUGUGAAAUCGCUCGGCUCAACUGGGCGGGGUCAGCGGAUACGGCGUAGCUGGAGCAAGCUAGGGGGCAAUGGAAUUCCCGGUGUAGUGGUGGAAUGCGUAAAUAUCGGGAGGAACACCAGUGGCGAAGGCGGUUGCCUGGAGCUUUGCUGACGCUGAGGCGCGAAAGCGUGGGGAGCGAUCCGG
Molecule: ribosomal RNA, 253 nt
Filed under: uncultured bacterium
Lineage: Bacteria
Description: partial 16S ribosomal RNA
Rfam family: Bacterial small subunit ribosomal RNA
Source: RNAcentral